Molecule: ribosomal RNA, 404 nt
Filed under: Bacillus sp. PSu5_41
Lineage: Bacteria; Bacillati; Bacillota; Bacilli; Caryophanales; Bacillaceae
Description: bacterial SSU rRNA
Rfam family: Bacterial small subunit ribosomal RNA
Source: RNAcentral
GCGGCGGACGGGUGAGUAACACGUGGGUAACCUGCCUGUAAGACUGGGAUAACUCCGGGAAACCGGGGCUAAUACCGGAUGCUUGAUUGAACCGCAUGGUUCAAUCAUAAAAGGCGGCUUCGGCUGCCGUUUACAGAUGGACCCGCGGCGCAUUAGCUAGUUGGUGAGGUAACGGCUCACCAAGGCGACGAUGCGUAGCCGACCUGAGAGGGUGAUCGGCCACACUGGGACUGAGACACGGCCCAGACUCCUACGGGAGGCAGCAGUAGGGAAUCUUCCGCAAUGGACGAGAGUCUGACGGAGCAACGCCGCGUGAGUGAUGAAGGUUUUCGGAUCGUAGAGCUCUGUUGUUAGGGAAGAACAAGUACCGUUCGAAUAGGGCGGUACCUUGACGGUACCUAACC